RNAcentral lists this ribosomal RNA (714 nucleotides) under Microbacterium sp. RNAcentral describes it as "bacterial SSU rRNA". It matches the Rfam family "Bacterial small subunit ribosomal RNA", at positions 101 to 828 of the family's 1533-position model. Lineage: Bacteria; Bacillati; Actinomycetota; Actinomycetes; Micrococcales; Microbacteriaceae. The record is from RNAcentral.
AACGGGUGAGUAACACGUGAGCAACCUGCCCCUGACUCUGGGAUAAGCGCUGGAAACGGCGUCUAAUACUGGAUACGAGUAGCGGCCGCAUGGUCAGUUACUGGAAAGAUUUUUUGGUUGGGGAUGGGCUCGCGGCCUAUCAGCUUGUUGGUGAGGUAAUGGCUCACCAAGGCGUCGACGGGUAGCCGGCCUGAGAGGGUGACCGGCCACACUGGGACUGAGACACGGCCCAGACUCCUACGGGAGGCAGCAGUGGGGAAUAUUGCACAAUGGGCGGAAGCCUGAUGCAGCAACGCCGCGUGAGGGAUGACGGCCUUCGGGUUGUAAACCUCUUUUAGCAGGGAAGAAGCGAAAGUGACGGUACCUGCAGAAAAAGCGCCGGCUAACUACGUGCCAGCAGCCGCGGUAAUACGUAGGGCGCAAGCGUUAUCCGGAAUUAUUGGGCGUAAAGAGCUCGUAGGCGGUUUGUCGCGUCCGCUGUGAAAUCCCGAGGCUCAACCUCGGGCCUGCAGUGGGUACGGGCAGACUAGAGUGCGGUAGGGGAGAUUGGAAUUCCUGGUGUAGCGGUGGAAUGCGCAGAUAUCAGGAGGAACACCGAUGGCGAAGGCAGAUCUCUGGGCCGUAACUGACGCUGAGGAGCGAAAGGGUGGGGAGCAAACAGGCUUAGAUACCCUGGUAGUCCACCCCGUAAACGUUGGGAACUAGUUGUGGGGU